Molecule: ribosomal RNA, 468 nt
Filed under: uncultured bacterium
Lineage: Bacteria
Description: partial 16S ribosomal RNA
Rfam family: Bacterial small subunit ribosomal RNA
Source: RNAcentral
GACGAACGCUGGCGGCGUGCUUAACACAUGCAAGUCGAACGGAAAGGCCCUGCUUUUGUGGGGUGCUCGAGUGGCGAACGGGUGGGUAACACGUGAGUAACCUGCCCUUGACUUUGGGAUAACUUCAGGAAACUGGGGCUAAUACCGGAUAGGAGCUCCUGCUGCAUGGUGGGGGUUGGAAAGUUUCGGCGGUUGGGGAUGGACUCGCGGCUUAUCAGCUUGUUGGUGGGGUAGUGGCUUACCAAGGCUUUGACGGGUAGCCGGCCUGAGCGGGUGACCGGCCACAAGGGGACUGAGAGAGGGCGCAGUCUCCUACGGGAGGCAGCAGUGGGGAAUAUUGCACAAUGGGCGGAAGCCUGAUGCAGCAACGCCGCGUGCGGGAUGACGGCCUGCGGGGUGUAAACCGCUUUCGCCUGUGACGAAGCGUGAGUGACGGUAAUGGGUAAAGAAGCACCGGCUAACUACGUG